Molecule: ribosomal RNA, 455 nt
Filed under: uncultured bacterium
Lineage: Bacteria
Description: bacterial SSU rRNA
Rfam family: Bacterial small subunit ribosomal RNA
Source: RNAcentral
AGUAGUUUGAUCAGUGCUACAGAACGAACGCUGGCGGCAUGCCUAACACAUGCAAGUCGAACGAGACCUUCGGGUCUAGUGGCGCACGGGUGCGUAACGCGUGGGAAUCUGCCCUUGGGUUCGGAAUAACAGUUAGAAAUGACUGCUAAUACCGGAUAAUGUCUUCGGACCAAAGAUUUAUCGCCCAGGGAUGAGCCCGCGUAGGAUUAGCUAGUUGGUGAGGUAAAGGCUCACCAAGGCGACGAUCCUUAGCUGGUCUGAGAGGAUGAUCAGCCACACUGGGACUGAGACACGGCCCAGACUCCUACGGGAGGCAGCAGUGGGGAAUAUUGGACAAUGGGCGAAAGCCUGAUCCAGCAAUGCCGCGUGAGUGAUGAAGGCCUUAGGGUUGUAAAGCUCUUUUACCCGGGAUGAUAAUGACAGUACCGGGAGAAUAAGCCCCGGCUAACUCCGUG